CCCUGGCUGGCUCAGCUGGUAGAGCAUGAGACUCUUGAUCUUCGGACUGUGAGUUUGAGUUCCACGUUGGGUG
Molecule: transfer RNA, 73 nt
Filed under: Ailuropoda melanoleuca (giant panda)
Lineage: Eukaryota; Metazoa; Chordata; Mammalia; Carnivora; Ursidae
Rfam family: tRNA
About the family: Transfer RNA (tRNA) molecules are approximately 80 nucleotides in length.
Source: Rfam by way of RNAcentral